AGUGAACGCUGGCGGCGUGCUUAACACAUGCAAGUCGAACGAGAACGGGCUAUAGCUUGCUAUAGUUGUCAGCUAAGUGGCGCACGGGUGAGUAAUGUAUAGGUAAUAUGCCUCUUACUAAGGGAUAACAAAUGGAAACGUUUGCUAAUACCUUAUACUCCUUAUUAACAGAAGUUAAUAAGGGAAAGAUUUAUUGGUAAGAGAUUAGCCUGUAUUGUAUCAGUUAGUUGUUGGGGUAAUGGCUUACCAAGACUAUGACACAUAACUGGUUUGAGAGGAUGAUCAGUCACACUGGAACUGAGACACGGUCCAGACUCCUACGGGAGGCAGCAGUGGGGAAUAUUGCACAAUGGACGAAAGUCUGAUGCAGCAACGCCGCGUGGAGGAUGACACAUUUCGGUGCGUAAACUCCUUUUAUAUGAGAAGAUAAUGACGGUAUUAUAUGAAUAAGCACCGGCUAAAUCCGUGCCAGCAGCCGCGGUAA
This 484-nucleotide ribosomal RNA is filed under the name uncultured bacterium. RNAcentral's name for it is "partial 16S ribosomal RNA". It matches the Rfam family "Bacterial small subunit ribosomal RNA", at positions 29 to 523 of the family's 1533-position model. The record is from RNAcentral.